Molecule: ribosomal RNA, 282 nt
Filed under: Galathea rostrata
Lineage: Eukaryota; Metazoa; Arthropoda; Malacostraca; Decapoda; Galatheidae
Description: partial 12S ribosomal RNA
Source: RNAcentral
UAAUCGACAAUCCACGAAAAAUCUUACUUAUUUAAAAAGUUUGUAUACCGUCAUUAUUAGAUAACUUUUAUAGAAUUAGAUAUUAAAAUUUAAUUUAAUUAAAGAAUAUUAGAUCAAGGUGCAGCUUAAAAAUAAGAAAAAAUGAGUUACAAUAAUAUUUAUUAAACGAAUUUUAAAAUUAAUUUUUUAUUUGAAGGUGGAUUUAAUUGUAUAUUUUAUUUAUUAAGGUAAAUUGAUAUAAGCUCUAUAAUGUGUACAUAUCGCCCGUCGCUCGCGGGAAAA